GGCUUGCAGAGCCAUGGCAAAGAGAGUAAAGUGCCCUGAGAUUUUAGGGUUUAAGUGCAUGUAGUACAACAUGGGAAAACAAGAAUAGGAAAUACAUCCCACACUAUAGCCCCCACCAAAGGACCUGAGCAGUAAGGAAAACAGCAGAGUACCUUAAAAGAAAUCAUGCAGCAGAUGAAAAUAAAGUUUUGAGUUACCUGAAAUUUGACUUCCAGAGCUCUUCUAUGAUCACAGAUCUAUGAGGCAAAGAAUCUCACACCAAUGUUUCAGCUGCAACUGGCCAUCUUGAACUUGUAAAAAGGUUUAAUGAAAGCUCAAGCUCUCCUCCCCUGAAGACUUUCAGAUUCUGCUUCUGAGAUUCAUAGAUUUGAUAUGCAAGCCAUCAUUGGGUUAGAAUUUCUCUCCCUUAUUUGUUCACCAGCCCACGUGUUCUGGAAUACACACCGCUAUCUUCUCUUGAUGAAGUCAUGCACACCCCUGCUCAGUCUGAUCAAGAACUAGGAGGUAUCAGGAAAGAAAGCCAUGGGCAGUUUGGAAGAUAUUUCCCAGAAGAGAUAUACCACAUGCACUUGCUAUGUCUAACAUCCAGUCCACAGGAGAGCAGGUGGCACACUGAGAGAAGAGUUGACAGAAAAUUUGAGUGGGGAGGAAAAGUAAA
Long non-coding RNA from Melospiza melodia melodia, 658 nucleotides. RefSeq lists it as uncharacterized. The record is from RefSeq and is a predicted model, not a curated record. The transcript is spliced from 3 exons. Lineage: Eukaryota; Metazoa; Chordata; Aves; Passeriformes; Passerellidae.